UGAGAAUCCAUCAUAGGAAGUGAUAGGAAGAGUCCAGGGUCCUGGAGAACGGCCUCCAGACCUUCCAAGUGACGGAGAACCUGAAGAUCAGCCACCAGUAUGGUCAGUGAUGGAUCAUGGAGACCAAUAGUCAUGUUGUAGGAGCCAUGAGAAGGAUUACACCAUAGUGAAGAAGACAUCGGGGGGGACUCCCAUCAUCCAUGAGUCAGGAGGGUGGAGCAGGACCCCCAUCACAGAGCCUCCCCCCCUGAUACAUGAGCAGAAGAUCCUAGAACUCACCCAGAAGAUGAUGGAGCUACUAACUGGAGAGGUUCCUAUAAGGUGUCAGGAUGUGGCGGUGUAUCUCUCCAUGAAGGAGUGGGAGAAUAUAGAAGGACACAAGGAUCUGUACAAGGAGGCCAUGAUGGUGGAUACCCGGCCUCUGACAUCACCAGAUGGAUCCAGGAGGAGAAAUCCCCCCGAGAGAUGUCCCCGUCCUCUGUAUUCCCAGGACU
Long non-coding RNA from Bufo gargarizans (Asiatic toad), 494 nucleotides. RefSeq lists it as uncharacterized. The record is from RefSeq and is a predicted model, not a curated record. Lineage: Eukaryota; Metazoa; Chordata; Amphibia; Anura; Bufonidae. The transcript is spliced from 4 exons.